RNAcentral lists this small RNA (596 nucleotides) under Pan troglodytes (chimpanzee). RNAcentral describes it as "retained intron". The record is from RNAcentral. Lineage: Eukaryota; Metazoa; Chordata; Mammalia; Primates; Hominidae.
GUGGGUGUAGUCACAACCAGGUAAAGACAUAAAGAGCCAGUGCCAUUUCCUGAUCUGUGGAGUGACAGGCCCCUAAAGAACAUCCCAGCCUCCCCUUUCUGUGUUUCUUCCUGGGGUCCUCUCCUUCCUUGGCUCCACUCCUCCAGUCCCUCAGACCUCAACAGGAUAUUGAAGCCUGCCCAUAUGGGCAUGCACUCAUUAAAUGUUUCCUUCUGACUCCAUUCCUGGCCUGACAGAGGAAGAAGAAGAGACCCAUAAGAUUGGCAGUCUGGCUGAGAACGCAUUCUCAGACCCUGCAGGCAGUGCCAACCCUUUGGAACCCAGCCAGGAUGAGAAGAGCAUCCCCUUGAUCUGGGGUGCUGUGCUCCUGGUAGGUCUGCUGGUGGCAGCGGUGGUGCUGUUUGCUGUGAUGGCCAAGAGGAAACAAGGGAACAGGCUUGGUGUCUGUGGCCGAUUCCUGAGCAGCAGAGUUUCAGGCAUGAAUCCCUCCUCAGUGGUCCACCACGUCAGUGACUCUGGACUGGCUGCUGAAUUGCCUUUGGAUGUACCACACAUUAGGCUUGACUCACCACCUUCAUUUGACAAUACCACCUACA